AACCACACGAAAUAAGGGAAAAGGAAGACUGAGUGUUUAUCAACACUUAACCAACAGAGCUCCCCAAACCUCUCAAAAGCCAAAAGGGUCUUCAACCCCAUCGCCACUGCCAUAAAAAACCCACUUGAUCCUCGCUUCCACAACACCGUCCUCCAUCCUACGCAGCAAUCUCCACCGUCAACUAGGGACUUAACCAAAUAGCCUUGGUCCAUGGAAGCUUUCUGUACAUGCAGAAUUGCAAAGUCGCAGUUCACCCAAAUCGUUCUUGUCCUUGUUAGUUUUAUCAUGGUAUGAACUGAGUUUCUUGAUUUGUAGACUCGUUAUCAAAUGGGUUAUUGAAACUUCAUGAUUGGAAAUUUUCCAAACUAGUCUUCAUGUUUCAUUUAAUUUUCUUGAUCUAAUACUUGCAACUCUUUCGAAUCAGUAGUCAUGUGCAAAUGGUCUGAUGAAGAAUACGAAGUAGUAGUUUUGGAUCUGUCCUCCUCCGCUGACUUAAUCUUUGCCAUUGCAACUACCGACCUCUGGAUCUAGAUAAUUGACUUAAGAUUUCUUGUGCAAUUCCUUUGCCCAGAACUUUUCUAGAUCAGUUCGUCCUCUGGGAGCAUGUAUUUUUGAAAUAGGAACCAUGUAUUUUGAAACAGUAACGAAGGAAACAAUAAAAUUUCUAAAACCAAGAUAAAAUACCAUUCACACGAACUAGUAAUAUAUUAUAACACAAGCUCGUUAGAUUGAUGUGACUGGGUUUCAGCAUAUGAGAAUAGUGUGGGACCCGCCAAUUUCUUCCACAUGGACAAGUUUUAUCGUGUAGCAAUGCCGGCAAUACGUACAGAUCAAAAAUCUGUCACCGUAUCGUGUGAAAUGGCAAGUUCACACGAAAAAGUGUGUAAAUUAAGAGAAAUACACACAGAUUCUGCACUGUGUGCUCUAGCUAUAUUUUCUAGUAGUGUGUGCAUUGAGAUAUCUACCUCUGAACUAACAACCCUCUUCACCAUUCUGUAUUAUAAGAACACAUAUUGAUCAACAUGAUAUUGUACUGUAAAUGAGAAGGCAUUAGCCUAAGUUUGAUAGAAUAGAAACUAUAUAUUGAAGCAGACAUUGACAUUGUACAACGGAAGUAACUGACAUUGGUGAUACCAACAUACACAAUCAAUCAUUACAAUGGAAAACUAGAAAACAACAAAUAAUGCAAUGUUCUUUCUUCAGUUGUUUUUUAAUUUGAUAAGCGAAGCUGUACUUUCACCAUACAAUCAAGAAAACUAUCAAAUUAUGACAUAAACAUCUUAAUCUGUUAAUUCAUAAACUGCAUUAACAAUCAAGUGCCACAAAUGCCAUGAAAUGUUUUCCUCUUAAAAUAACCAUGGUUCAUAAGCAAAAGAACACUACUACAAAAAUUGAAUCAGACGACGCCUCUCAGACGACGCAUUAUAGUUUUCCGUCGUCUGAUUGAUUUUAAUUUUUUUAGACGUUGUUUUUAAAAAAUCUGUCGUCUGAUAUGGAAUUAUGAAUUAGUUCAGAAGACGUAUAAGGACAGAACCGUUGUAUGACCCUAAAAAAAUUGAGCGCCAAGUUUUCCACCAUGUCAUGUGGUGCCAAACGUCAUCUCAAACCCCAAAUUUUCCCUAACAUGUAUUAAUCAUACGACGAUAAACAAUAAAACUGUGGUCUAAUUAAAAUGUUCGACAGAAAGGAGGGAGAUUUCUCUCCACAAUUUUCUCCAACUCCCCACGGAGGGAAGUCCAAUUAAUAUGAGACAAACCCUAAAUUUAAAUGGCUACAUUCAGACCACGUUCUUACACAAAUCUGUUGUGUGAGUCCUUGUACAAAUUGAUAGGGCCUCACAAAUCUGGCAGAAACCCUAACACUUGGAGCAAAAAACAUAACAAAAAUAACAAAAUAGCAAAACCCUCUCUCGACAGCUAGCGCCUCACUCUAUUUUGACUCGUCUCACUAUCGAUAGAUCCUCUAGUCUCUCGCUCUCUUGGUCGCCCCACUCUCGACAGACCCAAACCAAAACCAGAAUCCUCACUUUCCCAAACCCUCAUUCUUCUCUCUAUCUCGACAGACCCAAACCAAAACGAAAAUCCUCACUCUCUAGCCAAAACCUCACUCUCCCAAACCCUCAUUCUUCUCUCUAACCAAUCUCAUCUCUCUGCGAAUGGGAUUGAACCGGUGAACUGAGAUUGAGCCGAUUCCCUUCGAGCGAAGCAUUAUUGGCCACUUUAGCCUCUCCGACUGGUUCCCGUCGCAUCCAGCUGCAAGUCGAGACCGAGUUGUUUCUUUUUCCUGUCGCACCCAGCCGUGAGACCGAAUUGCAGAUAUUCCUGCAAAUGACUGGUUUGGCUGCAAUAGUAGUAGUUGGAGCAUAUAUGGGUGAAUGUGAAUCUGCUCUUUGGGACCAAUCUCAUGAUACAGAUGAAUGUGAAUCUGCUCUUGAAGCCCGAUAUCAAAUAGGGUCAUGAGCACAAUUGCUACUGUCAAGCUCACCACCAACUGCAAGACUUGUUAUCUAUUCUGCCUUUGAUAGUCAGGGACAUGGCAGACAACUAGUCAGUGCUUUAGUAUCUGUUUCAGCAAAAGAAAGUUUAGAGCCACAAGCUUUAGGAAUUGAGUUCUAUGACUCUCCCAAUAGGUUUCUGUUCUUGAAAAUGUGUAUUGAAGCAACUUGGAAUUAUUGCUACUGAGUGGCUCAUAAUACUUGGAUUGCAGAUUGCCAAGAAUUAUGUGACAAUUUGUUCGGCGGCAUAUUGGUCAUUAGAUCUCUUAAAGGAGUAGUCAACUGGCUGAUCUCGUGGAUUUGGAUAUGUAAUGUUUGCAUCAGCUGAAGAUGCCAAGCUUCAAACUCUGACUAACCCAAGCAAAGAGGAGUUUUGUAAAUUGCUUGAAUCGUAUUAGCCAAAUCUUGUAUACUUGUAAGGAGAGCAGCUUGAAAAUGAUGAAGUUGGUUCUCUUGCCUGGAGAGUAGCUUUAAGAUAUCUAAAGAUGCUUAUGAGGUUUAUUUGGAGGUUCCAAAUGGCAAAGAAUUGGCAGUGACCCUUCUACCAUCGUGCUUUAGAUAACUAGAUUGUGAUGUCACCUUUUUUAAUUGUUUGAUGGUUCCAAAGUAGUAUUUAAUUGUUUGAUGGUUGCAGCUCUUAACAUCAAUUGGAAACUUCUGCAUCUAUUCAAUUGUUGUUGGAAUGGUUAUUGGAAUAUCAGUAGGAACUCAGAGGAGGCCUGCCCAUUCUUACUGGUGCCAACACUAGGCUAAGCAACAUGGCAAGUACCAAGGAUGUGUCCCAAGGAUCACAGACAGUAGCUCGACUUGUAGACAUGGAGCUGCAAGGUACUUGGCCAUUGUAUGAUGUAGAAAAUGGCAAAAAAGUUGACAGAAACAGAGAGAAGACAAAUGUACAUGCAAAUGACCAUCCUAAAUUUGUGUAUGAAUAUUUGGGAAAUACUCCCUAUUUGAUAUCAAUUUACUGAAUUCAUUUUACAUGU
Molecule: long non-coding RNA, 3477 nt
Organism: Rosa chinensis
Lineage: Eukaryota; Viridiplantae; Streptophyta; Magnoliopsida; Rosales; Rosaceae
Exons: 9
Source: RefSeq, a predicted model, not a curated record